RNAcentral lists this transfer RNA (82 nucleotides) under Hyphomonadaceae bacterium. Its description in RNAcentral is "tRNA-Leu". It matches the Rfam family "tRNA". Rfam says of the family: Transfer RNA (tRNA) molecules are approximately 80 nucleotides in length. The record is from RNAcentral. Lineage: Bacteria; Pseudomonadati; Pseudomonadota; Alphaproteobacteria; Hyphomonadales; Hyphomonadaceae.
GCGGACGUGGCGGAACUGGCAGACGCACAGGAUUUAGGUUCCUGCGCCGCAAGGCGUGCGGGUUCGACUCCCGCCGUCCGCA